This is a non-coding RNA of Nicotiana tabacum (common tobacco), 114 nucleotides long. The record is from RefSeq and is a predicted model, not a curated record. NCBI's taxonomy places the organism in Eukaryota, Viridiplantae, Streptophyta, Magnoliopsida, Solanales, Solanaceae.
AAUACCAAUUUCUAGAUUUUUCUUCAAAACCCCAAAUUUCUACUAAUUUCCAUGAAUUUUCACGCCUAAAUUCGUAUAUAAACCAAGUAUUUAACUUGCAAUAGGUAGGAAUCA